CUAAAGAAACAUAGAUCCCAAGUUAAAAUUAAAUAACAAGUCUUACAAGUUAUGAUUCAUCAAAUUAUUAUUUUUGAUUUAGAUAAGAUACAUGAGCAUAAUUUUCAUGACAAGAAAACAGAAACAUAACAAACAAAGAUAGAUGCACGGUUCUCCUGUCUUUAACCUCUCUCUAAGAUGAUAAGAACAUACAGCAACAUUAAUUAAUAAUAGCCAGAACCAGAUCUGUUUUAUUCAAGCGAUCCUCCUCACUUCCUCACCUACAAAUCAACAAACAUUUAA
Molecule: small RNA, 282 nt
Filed under: Arabidopsis thaliana (thale cress)
Lineage: Eukaryota; Viridiplantae; Streptophyta; Magnoliopsida; Brassicales; Brassicaceae
Description: ATSL054950
Source: RNAcentral